Molecule: small nuclear RNA, 117 nt
Gene: U2
Rfam family: U2 spliceosomal RNA
About the family: U2 is a small nuclear RNA (snRNA) component of the spliceosome (involved in pre-mRNA splicing). Complementary binding between U2 snRNA (in an area lying towards the 5' end but 3' to hairpin I) and the branchpoint sequence (BPS) of the intron results the bulging out of an unpaired adenosine, on the BPS, which initiates a nucleophilic attack at the intronic 5' splice site, thus starting the first of two transesterification reactions that mediate splicing.
Source: Ensembl
AUUGCUUCUUGGCCUUUUGGCUAAGAUCAAGUGUAGUAUCUAUUCUUAUCAGUUCAAUAUCUAUCCCUUAAGGUAAAACGGUCUGUCUUACUUCUGGAUUCCAUUCAACAACACUUU